This 480-nucleotide ribosomal RNA is filed under the name uncultured bacterium. Its description in RNAcentral is "partial 16S ribosomal RNA". It matches the Rfam family "Bacterial small subunit ribosomal RNA", at positions 28 to 507 of the family's 1533-position model. The record is from RNAcentral.
GAUGAACGCUAGCGGCAGGCCUAACACAUGCAAGUCGAGGGGUAGAAGGAGCUUGCUCCUUUGAGACCGGCGCACGGGUGCGUAACGCGUAUGCAAUCUACCUUGUACAGGGGAAUAGCCCAGAGAAAUUUGGAUUAAUGCCCCAUAGUAUAUAACCUUCGCAUGUUGGUUAUAUUAAAGUUCCAACGGUACAAGAUGAGCAUGCGUCCCAUUAGUUAGUUGGUAAGGUAACGGCUUACCAAGACGAUGAUGGGUAGGGGUCCUGAGAGGGAGAUCCCCCACACUGGUACUGAGACACGGACCAGACUCCUACGGGAGGCAGCAGUGAGGAAUAUUGGUCAAUGGUCGCAAGUCUGAACCAGCCAUGCCGCGUGCAGGAAGACGGUCCUAUGGAUUGUAAACUGCUUUUAUACAGGAAGAAACCCUCCCACGUGUGGGAGCUUGACGGUACUGUAGGAAUAAGGAUCGGCUAACUCCGUG